This 347-nucleotide transfer-messenger RNA is filed under the name Ruminococcus bromii. It matches the Rfam family "transfer-messenger RNA". From Rfam's summary of the family: Bacterial tmRNA, also known as 10Sa RNA or SsrA, is named for its dual tRNA and mRNA-like properties. Its role is to liberate the mRNA from a stalled ribosome. RNAcentral also lists the same sequence under 1 other name. Lineage: Bacteria; Bacillati; Bacillota; Clostridia; Eubacteriales; Oscillospiraceae. The record is from RNAcentral.
GGGGAUGUAAAGGUUUCGACGGGGAUUUCAAACCUUGGUAAGCGAGCGGCGGUGCGGAACCGCCAUAAAAUCCGCAACUUUAAAAUUAACUGACAACAAAACAGUUGCUUUAGCAGCCUGAGUGCUGCUCGUUCCUGCACAGAGUACCUCGGCUGUGUAAGGGGCGUCGAUUAGAGGUAAAUGUGAACAGGGGAGCGCUCCGAACUCUGUCACAGCUUAGGAGCUGCCAAAGUGCGUAGCCUGUUGAUGGGCGAUGCACCGAGGGAGAUUUAAAACACCAACUGCGCUCGGAGAAAACCUUGGCAAGAUUUUUUCGGACAGGGGUUCGAUUCCCCUCAUCUCCACCA